Non-coding RNA from Cyanistes caeruleus (blue tit), 487 nucleotides. NCBI's taxonomy places the organism in Eukaryota, Metazoa, Chordata, Aves, Passeriformes, Paridae. The record is from RefSeq and is a predicted model, not a curated record.
UAUUCACAUUUUUUUGCAUUGUUUCCUGGAAAAGUUCUUCAUACCUUGUAGAAUCAUAAGUAACUAACAUAGCUAUUGUGAAGUCACAGGACUUCUAAUGAUGCCCAUCUCUGUGGCAGAUGUGCAUGGAUAACUAAACUGAAGCUUGGGAACAGUUUGAUUUCUGCAGUGACGGCAUGUGCUGCAGGGAGGAAUUCAACAGCAUCAAACACAAAGCCUUUUAAUCUAAAGCAAUGUUCAGUAUGCUUGGAAGUCACUGAACAGAUGGCUGAUGAGCACUCCCAGAGCAUUAACUGAACUCCAUGGGCAUCUUAUCAACAUCCAUGUGACAACACUUCAAGCAAAAGUUUUCCUUUCUAGAAAAGAGGCUACACACAAGCAGCAUGGCAAGUAAAUGAGAUAGCACCGUGUUGCACUGUGAUGAAGGCUGGUAACAGUCAUCAGUUGUAUCAAAUGCAGGUUUGCAUUAAUAAAACUGAGAAAUAUG